GACGUAGGGCGCGAGCGUUGUCCGGAUUUAUUGGGCGUAAAGAGCUCGUAGGCGGCUUGUCGCGUCGUCCGUGAAAACUCACAGCUCAACUGUGAGCUUGCGGUCGAUACGGGCAGACUAGAGUGCGGUAGGGGAGACUGGAAUUCCUGGUGUAGCGGUGAAAUGCGCAGAUAUCAGGAGGAACACCGGUGGCGAAGGCGGGUCUCUGGGCCGUAACUGACGCUGAGGAGCGAAAGCAUGGGGAGCGAACAGG
This 253-nucleotide ribosomal RNA is filed under the name uncultured bacterium. Its description in RNAcentral is "partial 16S ribosomal RNA". It matches the Rfam family "Bacterial small subunit ribosomal RNA", at positions 524 to 776 of the family's 1533-position model. The record is from RNAcentral.